AUACUUACCUGGCAGGGGAGAUACCAUGAUCAUGAAGGUGGUUUUCCCAGGGUGAGGCUUAUCCAUUGCACUCUGGAUGUGCUGACCUCUGCAAUUUCCUCAAAUGUGGACAACUCAACUGCAUAAUUUGUGGUAGUGGGGGACUGAGUUCGGGCUCUCCCCUG
Erinaceus europaeus (western European hedgehog) is the source of this 164-nucleotide small nuclear RNA. Its record names the gene U1. It matches the Rfam family "U1 spliceosomal RNA". Rfam says of the family: U1 is a small nuclear RNA (snRNA) component of the spliceosome (involved in pre-mRNA splicing). Lineage: Eukaryota; Metazoa; Chordata; Mammalia; Eulipotyphla; Erinaceidae. The record is from Ensembl.